UUGAUUCAUUUGUUUUCGUUACUCAGAAGGAGAUUCCGCUAAGAGCGAAGGCAAGGGUUUGGGUCCCCCGGCGGGCGCCUGGCUCCGGGCCUCCUCCCACGGGGGGUUCGGGCGCCGGGGCGGUCCGCCGAAGCAACGUAUGGUAUGUUCACAGGGGUUUGGGAGUCGGUACAACUCGUUAAUGAUCCCUCCGCUGGUUCACCAACGGAGA
This 211-nucleotide unclassified non-coding RNA is filed under the name uncultured fungus. Its description in RNAcentral is "sequence contains ITS1". The record is from RNAcentral. Lineage: Eukaryota; Fungi.